This 1188-nucleotide ribosomal RNA is filed under the name Triticum aestivum (bread wheat). Its description in RNAcentral is "partial small subunit ribosomal RNA". The record is from RNAcentral. Lineage: Eukaryota; Viridiplantae; Streptophyta; Magnoliopsida; Poales; Poaceae.
AUGGCUGCUGAUGAUAGUAUGUCAGAGAAGAUCCAGGAAGGAAUAUCUGAAUCUUUUGCCGUAAGGGAUCGUCGGGGAUUAUCAACAAAGAAAAAUCCCAAUCCAUCAUCACGUGAUCCUGUAUAUAAACUGAGUGGAAUUGCAAUGAAAGGUGAUCGGCACAAGUUACUAGAGCGUCAUGGUAUCAAGCAGGUGGUGGAUCUCUUACAUUUGCACAGUAAGAAUCCGGAAGGUUUACGUGAAAUUUUCGGGAAGAUUUCUGACCAUGACUGGGAUAAGAUCAUUAAUCAUGCUCGUAAAUGCAAUCAAGUAGCACAAAUAUACUCUACUUCCAUUCAGGAGAAUAAUGUGCCUCAUGAGCAUGAGCCAUUUUCUAAAACCAAUGACAGUAGUUACCUCAAAGGACCAUGCUCAAUGCAACCAAGUCCCACACCACAAAAACAAAUUGAUGCCCAAGUCCAUCACCAGCAAAUUGCUUCAAGUUAUAAUGGACCAUCAUCCGGUACAUCAUCGGAAAAUGCACUGCAGGCCUCCUGCUUGGCAGCAGCACCAGGGCUCACAUUCAUGAGAUCAGACCAGCACGUGAUGCCAUAUGGAGAACUUGGGGGCAUUCAAGCUACAGGCCAGCAAGUUACAUGCAUAGGAAGUGAGAUUCUGUCAGCUAGCACCAUGAAUAACAAUAUCUUAGAUGGAUCUAACUCAGAGCAAGUAGGGCCUCUGGAUGGCAACAUAAUUCCUAAUGGGAACAGACUACCCACUGGCAUUGAUCUUUCACAGUGGCUGGAUAUCCUGCAGAACCAGACAUUUGAUGACUCUGUAGUCACAGAAACUCCUCCUUGGGGAGUUUCCAACAAUGCACUUGAUUCGACUGUCUGCGAAGCUGGAAAUAUGCUUGAUUCGCCUUUCAGUGAUGCUAGUAUAAGCUAUGUGGGACAUUCACCUGUCAGUGAAACAGGCAGGGGACGUUCAUCUUUACCUUUCAGGGGAGCAAGCAGUAGAAGCUACAGGGGACAUUCUGCUUCGCCACUCAGGGGAGCAGGCACUAAAAGCUACCGGCGACAUUCUGCUUCACCACUCAGGGUAGAAGGCCCUAGAAGCUACGAGGGACAUAAUCCUUCACCUGUGUCGGGAGCAGGCAGUACAAGUUAUGCAAGUGCAGAUUUCACAGGCGGAGACAUCUUAUGGUAG